ACCCCUACUACGAUGGACAGAGAACCAGCUUCACCCAAUCUAACCCCAACCCCAGCCGAUAGUAACCUAGUUUAUGUUGACACAGCACCAUCUCCACCACAGAGCUCCCAAACAAGAGCAAUUAGUAAGGCAGCUCCAGUGCCCAAAGGGCCAGUACUAUCACGGCGAACCCCAACUCCACCAGUUAGUACGCCUAUUCCUGUGAGGAAGCACAACCAGCUAGUCGUAGUUUAGCAUCUAUCGCAUUUGAUGUUAUUAAAUCGUAUGUACGUAUCUUCCCAUCUUGGAAAUAUUAUACU
RNAcentral lists this ribosomal RNA (299 nucleotides) under Triticum aestivum (bread wheat). Its description in RNAcentral is "partial small subunit ribosomal RNA". Lineage: Eukaryota; Viridiplantae; Streptophyta; Magnoliopsida; Poales; Poaceae. The record is from RNAcentral.